GCCGGGCAUGGUGGUGUGUGCCUGUAAUCCCACCUACUGGGAGGCUGAGGCAGGAGAAUCACUUGAACCCGGGAGGCAGAGGUUGCAUUGAGCCAAGAUUGCACCACUGCACUCCAGCCUGGAUGACAGAGUGAGACUCUGCCUCAA
This 147-nucleotide non-coding RNA is filed under the name Pan troglodytes (chimpanzee). The record is from Rfam by way of RNAcentral. Lineage: Eukaryota; Metazoa; Chordata; Mammalia; Primates; Hominidae.